AGUGCUUGCAGAGCGCGAGAUGCGUGACGAGCAUAAUGGAGCAUAGUAAACUUGGCACAUCAUUAGGGCACAUUUAGUGUACUACUUCACCGUACUGCUGAGUCAGAUGAGAAAGGACAUGUGUGAUAUAAACUAAAGAAAGAAGAAAUGGUCAUAAAAUACUUUUACGUAAAUCAUAAAAUAGCUUACAAUGAAUGAUGGAUUUUGUUUGCUAGCCCAAGCUGUCGACAGGCCAGCGUUCACUAUGCCUAAAUUAACUGUUGUUAUCUACACAACACCAAAUAACAAAGUAUUAUUAUAACUCGGCGAUGGAGGCUUUAGCCACAGACUUGACCAAUUUGCCAGGGAUUUCUGCUUGCGAUCUGCUAGAGGCACUGUGUCGACUGCAAAGCGCAACAGGGAAUGAGGCCAAUCCUUAAAAAAAACGGAGGAAAAUUAGGACAUCAGGAUACAGUUUGCUGCGGCGAAGCUGUUGCAUUAUGGGAUGUCCGUAAAGGUGCUGUAGAUUCAGCAGGACAAGACCCAUCGGACUGACUGGACCCACCAGAACUAUAACAGAACCUCAGAAGAACCAAAAUCCACUGUUUUAUGCACAUCGAAUAUCAAGAUGUACAUGUACUCAAAGAUGUAGCUGUGUCUGAGAUUGGAUGCUAACCAGGAGGUUUGUGCUUAAGGCUACUGAAUAAGGAAUGUCUGAGAUAUCCCAUCCAUCCUGCUGGUCGUGACCUUGAAAGGUUUGACCUGUCCUAAGCUACUUGUUUCUAUAAAUAA
This is a long non-coding RNA of Osmerus eperlanus (European smelt), 771 nucleotides long. RefSeq lists it as uncharacterized. The record is from RefSeq and is a predicted model, not a curated record. The transcript is spliced from 4 exons. NCBI's taxonomy places the organism in Eukaryota, Metazoa, Chordata, Actinopteri, Osmeriformes, Osmeridae.